RNAcentral lists this ribosomal RNA (406 nucleotides) under uncultured bacterium. RNAcentral's name for it is "partial 16S ribosomal RNA". It matches the Rfam family "Bacterial small subunit ribosomal RNA", at positions 30 to 526 of the family's 1533-position model. The record is from RNAcentral.
AUUGAACGCUGGCGGCAGGCCUAACACAUGCAAGUCGAACGAGUGGCGGACGGGUGAGUAAUGUCUGGGAAACUGCCUGAUGGAGGGGGAUAACUACUGGAAACGGUAGCUAAUACCGCAUACCAUCAGAUGUGCCCAGACGGGAUUAGCUUGUUGGUGGGGUAACGGCUCACCAAGGCGACGAUCGCUAGCUGGUCUGAUAGGAUGACCGACCAACCUGGAACUGAAACACGGUCCAGACUACUACGGGAGGCAGCAGUGGGGAAUAUUGCACAAUGAGAGCAAGCCUGGUGCAGCCAUGCCGCGUAUAUGAAGAAGGCCUUCGGGUUGUAAAGUACUUUCAGCGGGAAGGCGUUACCCGCAGAAGAAGCACCGGCUAACUCCGUGCCAGCAGCCGCGGUAAUAC